GUGAGCGCCAACCCGCGACACAGAACUCCAAUGGCACUGCAAGAGAGAGGUCACUCAAACUGCGGGGGACAACACAGGUAGGUACUUCACAGGCAACUGGGGCUCUAUUCUCACUUUAGUGAUUCGUAGCAAUGGACAAAGGUAAGUAUUUCACAGGCAACUGGGGCUCUAUUCUCACUUUAGUGAUUCGCAGCAAUGGACAAAGGUAAGUAUUCCACAGGCAACUGGGGCUCUAUUCUCCUAGAAUACUUCUCCUGGGCGGUGGGCUUACGGUGAAAUACUGCGAUACAGUAAGUAGAUGAACUGUCAGACCUGGAGUAGUAAAUCGUCGUAGCGCAGGCCUCCA
Carassius gibelio (silver crucian carp) is the source of this 346-nucleotide long non-coding RNA. RefSeq lists it as uncharacterized. The transcript has 3 exons. Lineage: Eukaryota; Metazoa; Chordata; Actinopteri; Cypriniformes; Cyprinidae. The record is from RefSeq and is a predicted model, not a curated record.